UCGCUCUUGUGCACGUGUCAAGAAGACUGGCUUCCUAUUGGUUUAUAUUGCAGAAGCCCGCCCAACAACUUCCGGACGCGUUCUUUAAGUUAAGGCCGCCGGCUUGUUCCGGCCUCUUAUCGACGGGGAGUUCUCUAAGGUCUCCCCUGCGCAGGACAGCAGACAGCGUGGACUUCCACAACCUGUCCCCAAACCUCUGAAUAAAGUGUUUCGACAACA
Apodemus sylvaticus (European woodmouse) is the source of this 219-nucleotide long non-coding RNA. RefSeq lists it as uncharacterized. The record is from RefSeq and is a predicted model, not a curated record. The transcript is spliced from 2 exons. NCBI's taxonomy places the organism in Eukaryota, Metazoa, Chordata, Mammalia, Rodentia, Muridae.